CAGUAGAACGCUGAAGAGAGGAGCUUGCUCUUCUUGGAUGAGUUGCCAACGGGUGAGUAACGCGUAGGUAACCUGCCUUGUAGCGGGGGAUAACUAUUGGAAACGAUAGCUAAUACCGCAUAACAAUGGAUGACACAUGUCAUUUAUUUGAAAGGGGCAAUUGCUCCACUACAAGAUGGACCUGCGUUGUAUUAGCUAGUAGGUGAGGUAACGGCUCACCUAGGCGACGAUACAUAGCCGACCUGAGAGGGUGAUCGGCCACACUGGGACUGAGACACGGCCCAGACUCCUACGGGAGGCAGCAGUAGGGAAUCUUCGGCAAUGGGGGCAACCCUGACCGAGCAACGCCGCGUGAGUGAAGAAGGUUUUCGGAUCGUAAAGCUCUGUUGUAAGUCAAGAACGAGUGUGAGAGUGGAAAGUUCACACUGUGACGGUAGCUUACCAGAAAGGGACGGCUAACUACGUGCCAGCAGCCGCGGUAAUACGUAGGUCCCGAGCGUUGUCCGGAUUUAUUGGGCGUAAAGCGAGCGCAGGCGGUUUGAUAAGUCUGAAGUUAAAGGCUGUGGCUCAACCAUAGUUCGCUUUGGAAACUGUCAAACUUGAGUGCAGAAGGGGAGAGUGGAAUUCCAUGUGUAGCGGUGAAAUGCGUAGAUAUAUGGAGGAACACCGGUGGCGAAAGCGGCUCUCUGGUCUGUAACUGACGCUGAGGCUCGAAAGCGUGGGGAGCGAACAGGAUUAGAUACCCUGGUAGUCCACGCCGUANACGAUGAGUGCUAGGUGU
Molecule: ribosomal RNA, 781 nt
Filed under: uncultured bacterium
Lineage: Bacteria
Description: bacterial SSU rRNA
Rfam family: Bacterial small subunit ribosomal RNA
Source: RNAcentral